GUCUAUAUGGAGGAGACGCAUGAACAGAGCAGUCCAGAAUGCUGAGCCACCCCACUUGAGACGGCUGUCCUAGACAAUCUUCCAGAUACUAAAGAAAGUUUUCUCAAACUCGAAAGAUGGAUAAGAAGAAAGAGAGAAGAGGGCUUAGAUCCUGUGAAUCUCCAGAGGGGAUAUCUCGGUUGUAUCCCCCUUGGCUGAGCCGGUGAAGGGGGACCGUGGAACCCCAAGCAGAACCCUAUGCUGCCUUACCCAGGAGUUGCCCAGAAACUUACAAGACCUCAGCAUUUUCCCAUGCCCAUCAUGGAAAGAAAGCAAAAGAAGCAAGGUGAGAGAUAGGCAGACGAUCAGAAACAGCCUCUGGAAAUGACCGAUAUGAUAUGUAUGGCAAAGGUACCAGCAGCCUGUCUUUUCAUGCAGUAAGGGAAGAGGGACAGACAAGCCAGAGCAGCACAUGUGUUUGGCCUUGCUGUCAGGAGGAUGACAAGGCAGUCUGCUGCCCUGCCUACCCGUACUAGAACAUAUAGCAAAGGCCCAAGAUAAUAGCACUGGAGGAGGUCCAGACAUCAUCAGAUCCAGCCUGAAGCUGAAAGAAGAGGCUUCAGAAAGAAUUUUUUUUUAAAAAUGUGUUUGUUGUUGUGCAGGAGAGAGACAAUGAGACAGAAUAUAUAGUAUAAUUGAAUUUCUGUUUCAUAUAACAAGUUGGCUUAGUAUAGAAGGUCUCAGUCACCCACAGUCCAAAUAUAUAAAAAUGCUACUUCCAUAGGAAAAAAAUCUUAAGUAGCUAUGAAAACAAAAAAAUUUCCAGAUGCCAGAAAGGAAGAGUUAAGCCAAAACCAGUGUGGUAAGUGCAACUGAAACUAAUGGCUUAUGAGAUACUGAACCUAGAAAUAGAUCUCAUUGGCUAGGGAAGACAUUUUAAUGUCCAUGUGGGAUUAGAGAUGAAGCUAAUAGAAGUUGGGAGCUGAAACUGAGCUCUCUGAUCAGAGAUGGAAGCUACAGCCUGACAAGCUGUCUCGUCUGUCAACAGCCGAUUGAUAGGAAGAAGCGAGGAUUGGCAUAGUCAGAAUUAACAUUAUGCGUACCAUGGGAGAAAUGGAAGUUAAAAAUAAAAACAAUCUUGACUAGUGAAAAUGGAAGAUCCCUCCAAGCAUCUCCGCAAACUAGUCUCCAGAGGAUGAAGUCUUUCUUCAUAUCUCAGCUUUGUUCUCUGUGUGGGUCCCAUUUUUAGCUAACAAGGUGGGCUAGACUACAAAGGUGGAUGUGGGUUCAAAUAUUGGCAGAGAUAUUAAUUGGCAAGUGGUUGGCAUUAUUUUUCUUUUCACCCCAGAAGCAACAAAGCAAGGAAACCUUGUAAAUGUUACAAACUCCCAGAAGUGUGUCUUAAAUUGGAUACUCCCAGGAGCCUGCCUGUAGAGAAAAAUCAUAUAGGUCAGAGAUUCCCAAAUCUUAAGAGCCACCCUAUUGCCUGAAGAGAAAAAUUCUUGUUGCUCUGCAGUUAGAGACUAGCACAUUCAGUUGUGCGUGUCUGACUGUAUGUGUGUGUGUGUGUGCAUGCAUGUGUAUGUGUGUGGUAUGUGUAUACAGGCAUUCAUUGGGAGUGGUCAAAACCCAAUGACAAGACAGCUAGGUUCUUUCUCUCUCUUCUUGAGGUUGCAAAAGGCAAUGACCUUUGAGUGAUGGCAGCUUGAGUAAUAUGUCCUUACAGCUCCGAGAACAGCAGAAAAGUUAAGACUUAUAUCCUAGUUUCUCUGGAAAUUGUUUCAGACUUAGCUUUAAAUGCCCUUUCCUGAAGAAAUCAUAGUACCAGGAGAUUCUGUGCUAUGAUUGCCUUAGGAUUGGUCAAGCCUAAAUCUCAUGGUCACUUGUGAAGACAGCUUCUAACAAUAUGCAAUAAGAAAAUUCCUUAUGUUAUUAUAAAUACUGUUCAGUGGAGCAACAAUUGAAAGCCCUCCCUGACACUAUCAUAGCCAAAUAUCAAUUCUGGAAAACAGUUUCAAGAAGGAAGGAAGGAAGGAGGGAAGGGAGGGAGAGCAGGAGGGAAGGAGGAAAAAAAUUAUAAACCAAUCUUACAUAGGAGUACAAAGGUAGGCAGGUGUGGUGGCCCACAUUUGUAGUCCUAGCACACUUGGGGAAUCAGCAGCAAGAGGAUCCCAAGUUCAAGCCCAGUCUGAUCAACUUAGUGACUUAACAGGAUCCUGUCUCAAAAUAUAAAGAAAGGGCUUGGGGAUAUAGCUCAGGCCAAAGCCCUGGAUUCAAUUCUCAGUAACACACACAUACAAAUGUAUACCCAUUACAUGAUAAAAUUAACAAAUUAAAUCCAGCAAUACAUAUAUAUGUGUGUGUGUGUGUGUGUGUGUGUGUGUGAGAUAAGUUUACAGACAUAUUUUAUAGAGAGUCAUGCACUGCUUAGCAAAAGAGUUCUGAGACUCAUUAGACAACUUCAUCAUUGUGCAAACAUCAUAAAAUGUACUUCCAUAAAUUUAAGAUGACAUCACUAGGCAACAUAAUCUUAUGAAACAACUGAUGUUUACUGUCUGUUGUUGACCAAAAUGUCAUUAUGUGGCAUAUGAAUGUAUAUAAAAUAUAUCUGUAAACUUAGCAGGAAUAUAAAAAUAUUUUAAAAUUAAGAAAGGUAUUCAUUAAACUGCUACAUUAGAAGACCACAUGAGUGAAACUACACAAUCAUCUCAAAAAAUGCCCAGUGCAGGGCUGGGGAUGUAGCUCAGUGGCACUGCGCCUGCCUUGCACUUGCAAGGUCCUGAGUUCGAUCCCCAGUACCAAAAAAAAAAAAAAAAAAAAGGACUAUGCAGCAUUUAACCAAUUAAUGAGAAAAGAUACUCUGAUUUAACUAGAAGUCUUCUAACUUGGUAAAGGUUAUCUCCCAGAAAUUUAUAGUAAAUAUUAUACUCAAUGAAAUAUUUAUAUUUACCCCCAAAUUAGAAUCUUCAAUGUCCAUCAACACAAUAAUUAUGGGAUAUCCACCUAUAAAAUUCCAUGAGACAGGUAAAUAUAAACAAGGAAAAUUCU
Heterocephalus glaber (naked mole-rat) is the source of this 3027-nucleotide long non-coding RNA. NCBI's taxonomy places the organism in Eukaryota, Metazoa, Chordata, Mammalia, Rodentia, Bathyergidae. The record is from Ensembl.